GUGGCUCUGGAUGAGAUUAGCAUUUGAAUUGGCAGACUGAGUAAAGCAGAUUGCCCUCCCUAAUGUGAAUGGCUCUCAUCCAUUCAAUUAAAGGCCUGAAUAGAAUAAAUAGGCUAAUUCUUCUGUGAAAAGCGGGGAACUCCUCUUGCCUGACUUCUUUGAGCUGGGACAUUGUUUUUUUUCUGGCUUUUGGGCUUGAACUGAAACAUCAGUUCUUCCUGGGUCUCAAGCCUGCCAGCUUUCAGACUGGAACUACACCAUUGGCUCUCCUGGUUCUCAGGCCUUCAUACUCAGACUGGAACUACACAUCAGCUCUCCUGGGUCUCCAGCUUGCUUUCAUGCGCGUCCGUGUGAAGAGAGCACCAAACAGGCUUUGUAUGAAGGUCACCUUUCCCAGGUUACUGAGUCCCUUCUUUUCUGCUAGGAGAAGCUUUGCCUCAGUCUCAUAUCAGCCACAUACUACUGGGAGAUACUUGGGAUGGAGAGUUCUGGAAGAGAAUGCUCAAGGUUCCAUGGAUCCCCCCAGCUUCCUGCUUCAUACAUUCACUAUGGGAGCCCUGGCCACAAUUUUUAUAUCCUUGAACAAAUACAUCAUUUUCCUGUAAUGCUAAAAGAGAAGAGUUCAUAAGCUUUGGAAUAAAAGUUAUAGGCAAAAUAUUUAAACUUGUUUUUUAUAUAUGUAUUUUUAAUGGUUAUUGGGGUCCAUCUCAGUAGGGAUUGACACUCUGCCUCAUUGCAGGGAAAGUCCAAAAGUUUCUGUUAGUGCUAUGUAAAUGAGAAAGUUCUGGAGCUUGCAGGUAUUUCCUGACUGUCCACAGUGAUGCAUUUGUUAGCUAACAUUUUGUUAGUUGGCCUUUUCAUAUAUGAACUGUGCCCUGGGCUGUCAAAAUGAUCUGGAUUCAAACUUGGCUCUGCUAUGUCCUGUCUGUGAGUCCCUGGAUUAUUUACUUAACAGUUCUAAGCCUCUUUCUUCUCAUCUGUUAACUGAGAGACUGUGGUGCCUGCAUCAUGAAGUCUCCAAAUUCCUGAAUGGAGACACUGCACCUUUUCUCCUUGUAUCCUCUGACAAGUUUGAACUUUACCAGAACCCUGUGAUCCUGGAAAACAGAAAAGGUUAAUAAAUGCCCCCACUGCUUUGUGUUCCAGAAAGGGCUUUGUGCAGCUAACCAUUAUUCCCCAUGUGACUUAAAUCAGAUUCACCAAUGCUGCCUUGUGGGCAUUGAUAUGGUUCAAAUGUUUUGUCCCCUUCAAAUCUCAUGUUGAAAUGUGACCUCUAAUGUUGGAGGUGGGGCCUGGUGGGAGGUGUUUCGAUCAUGGGGGUGGAUCCCUCAUGAAGGGCUUGGUGCUGUUCUUGCAGUAAUGAGUGAGUUCUUGAUUUUAGUUCUCAUGAGAUCUGGUUGUUCAAAGAGCCUGGCACCUCCUCCUUUCUCUCUUGCUCCCUCUCUUGCCAUGUGGCGUGCCUGUUCCUACUUUGCCUUCUGCCAUGAUUGUAAGCUUCCCAAGGCCCUCACCAGAAGCAAAUGCUGACACUAUGCUUCUUGUACAGCCUGCAGAACUGUGAACCAAAUGAACCUCUGUUCUUUUUAAAUUACCCAAUUUCACAUAUAUUUUUGUAGCAACACAGAGUAAAUAGCCAUCAACACUUAUAACAAGGCCAGACGCAGACCCUCUAAAUUCCUUUUGUUUGUCUCAUAAAUGAUAUUAGCUAAGCUGUUUUGUCCCCACUGAUCAAUCAGAAAAAAAUGCAGGCUAAACCAACUUUGGUUAAGAUUCUUUGCUUCUCCUAGGCUGAACUUUGUCCCGCCCUCAGCCUCAGCCAGCACACAGCUCCUCCUCCACAGCCUCUCCCUGGAGUACGCUGCAGAGUUCAGGGUAAAAUAUUCCCUCAUCUACUGGCAGAUCGUGUCACUCCUGUCAUGGUACUUCUCCACACCUGGUUCUUUCUAGCCUUGUCUAUUCUUUCCUAUGAAAGAGAAUCUCUUUUUUCCUAACCCUUGAGAUACUUCCAGAUCUCAUGAUAAGAAUGUUCUCCAAACUACAACAGCCCCUUUCUCCUUACUGUAAUGGUCCAGUCUCCCUCUUGCACUAAUCCUUUCGAAUAAAGUCUCUUUAUUUUAUUUUAUUCUAUUUUAAGAUGGAGUCUUGCUCUGUUGCCAGGCUGGAGUGCACUGGCGUGAUCUCAGCUUAUUGCAAUCUCCGCCUCCCGGGUUCAAGGAAUUCUCCUGUCUCAGCCUCCCCAGUAGCUGGGACUACAGGCCCAUGGCACCACGCCCAGCUAAUUUUUGUAUUUUUAGUAGAGACUGGGUUUCACCAUUUUGUCCAGGAUGGUCUCGAUUUCUUGACCUUGUGAUCCGCCCGCCUCGGCCUCCCGAAGGGCUGGGAUUACAGGCGUGAGCCACCCACCGCACCCAGCCUGAAUAAAGUCUCUUCUUACCUAAGUGCCAAAUUGUUUUUGGACAUUCUCAGAGUGUUUAAAAAUGCAUGCUGUAUUGAAUUAAAAUAUGUUAUUAGCUCAAAAUUCAAUCACAAAAACUGUAUUAAGCAAUUAAUAUAUGAGGAAUAAGUUGUAUCAGAUUUUGCCAGAGCUUCCCUGACACAUGCAAAUUCAUGGUUUGGUUGGGUAGAAUAGACACAAAUGCUCUCAGUUAAAUAACAAAAGAAGAGUAAAAUAACACAAGCAUAGUAGGUGAUAAAGGCAGUGUGAUUAAUCUCUGAGUAGCAAAGAGAAUUAUUCUUUUGAGUUCCAAGGAAGCAGAGCUCAUAGUUUUGAGGUUUAAAUUUGGGCUUGGGUGUUUUUAGUAACUUUGGAUGAAGAACACAAGUUUUAUUUUCCCACCUGAGUGCAGAAUGGUAAGUGUGGAUUGUAGAGCAAAGGAAAUUAACUUCCACCAGUGGGAUUUUGAUCCUCUGAUAUCAGAAUGUGUCACAGCCUGCAGAGAUUAAAUUUCUCAGCAUUAGGUGUAAACAGACACUCACUCCCAUGACUUUGCUUUCAAAAAAAUUAGCUGACAUUUAAGCUUGAAAUAGCCAUGUUGUUGCACCCACUAUUUAAUUCAGAUAUAUCACAGAUGCUGCAUUUGGAUGUUUAUUCUAUAAAAAAAACUGUGUAAAAGUGGAUUGGUUGGAAGAGUUGUAAUUACUCAGAUAGGAUCAGGAAAGAAUAUGGGAGAAGGUAAAGGGGGAACUCCAUCUCACCACUGUGCUGGGUGCCUGAAAGAUGUCACAACAUUUAAUUCCCAUAAUAUUUCCUUAAAGUAGGUGCAUAUUUCCCCAUAGUGAAGGUGCGGAGAGCUCUUGGUAAGGAAUAACUCUUCAAGUAGAGAAAUAAGAUAAGAAAUGACCAUUGACUUUCCACACCAGUUAACUUUUCAUAGUACCUUAGUUUUGGCUUGGAAUUCUGAUAUGGUGGUGAGGGUUCUAAAUCAUUAGUAUGAAAUAAGAGUAUCCUCAGCAUAGCAUUAAACAGAAAAUUGCUUUGAGGGCAGAGAAAUUCUUGGGAUCCUGCAGAAAAGACAAAUGUGGUAUAUUAUAUUUAGUAAUUGCUUGCUGUAAUGGGUACAAGAGGUUAUACCUGUUACAAUGAUUAAGAAAUACAGUCCCUAAAGAAAUGGAAUGCAAUGUUCUACUUAAAGGAGGACACUAGAAUAAAUAUGAUUUCACAGUCCAUACUUUUAGGGUUGUAUUUUUCUAAUUAUAACACCAAACUGUAGUUCCUUUAAAUAAAUACCUGAAGAUGUAAAGACACAACUUAUAUUAACUGCUAAUGUAUUCCUCAGUGCCCAAUUGUGAUUCUUAUAUUCAGCUCUGCAUUCUGCUUUUUAAUUCCACUUGUUGUAGAUUUUUGUAUUAAGGUAUAUAUUUUAGUGUCUCUUUGUUCUGCUAACAUGAAAUGUGUUAUGAUUUAUUCAAUCAUCCCUAUAAUAAAGAUUAAAGUUUUUUCUGAGUUUCCAGAAACAGCAC
This 3960-nucleotide long non-coding RNA is filed under the name Homo sapiens (human). Its description in RNAcentral is "HSALNT0121054". The record is from RNAcentral. Lineage: Eukaryota; Metazoa; Chordata; Mammalia; Primates; Hominidae.